RNAcentral lists this ribosomal RNA (497 nucleotides) under uncultured bacterium. Its description in RNAcentral is "partial 16S ribosomal RNA". It matches the Rfam family "Bacterial small subunit ribosomal RNA", at positions 28 to 507 of the family's 1533-position model. The record is from RNAcentral.
GACGAACGCUGGCGGCGUGCCUAAUACAUGCAAGUUGAGCGCUGAAGGUUGGUACUUGUACCGACUGGAUGAGCAGCGAACGGGUGAGUAACGCGUGGGGAAUCUGCUUUUGAGCGGGGGACAACAUUUGGAAACGAAUGCUAAUACCGCAUAAAAACUUUAAACACAAGUUUUAAGUUUGAAAGAUGCAAUUGCAUCACUCAAAGAUGAUCCCGCGUUGUAUUAGCUAGUUGGUGAGGUAAAGGCUCACCAAGGCGAUGAUACAUAGCCGACCUGAGAGGGUGAUCGGCCACAUUGGGACUGAGACACGGCCCAAACUCCUACGGGAGGCAGCAGUAGGGAAUCUUCGGCAAUAGACGAAAGUCUGACCGAGCAACGCCGCGUGAGUGAAGAAGGUUUUCGGAUCGUAAAACUCUGUUGGUAGAGAAGAACGUUGGUGAGAGUGGAAAGCUCAUCAAGUGACGGUAACUACCCAGAAAGGGACGGCUAACUACGUG